This 856-nucleotide long non-coding RNA is filed under the name Mytilus galloprovincialis (Mediterranean mussel). The record is from RNAcentral. Lineage: Eukaryota; Metazoa; Mollusca; Bivalvia; Mytilida; Mytilidae.
CAAAGAUAAUGUUUAAUAUUUAUUACCUAAAAACAAAACCACGCGAUAACUCUAUUACGGCUAUAUAAAUUUCAAUAAACACGAAAUGUAAUGUUGAACCUUUAAACAAAUAGAUGUAGCUGUACAUUACAAAAAAAAAAUAUUUUCAAAGUCUUUGUAGCAAAUACAAUUACAAAGCUUUAUGCAAAUUUAUCUCAAGACUGAUACUCAAAUGAGAGGCAAAAGAUACCAGAGUAACAUUCAAACUCAUAAGUCGAAAAUAAACUGACAACACCAUGGCUAAAAAAGAAAAAAAGACCAACAGAUAAAUAAAAGUGCACACAACAUAAAAAACGCAAGAUUGAGCAACACGAGCACAACCACAACAUUGGGGUGAUCUCAGGUGUUCCGGAAGGGUAAGCAGAUCCUGCUCCACAUGUGGCAUCCGUCAUGUUGCUCAUGUUAGUACAAACCCGGUAAUUUGUAUAAUUCGGUAUGACAUAUUCGGGAAAAGGGGACGGGAUUGCAGUUACGACAUCAGGAACAUAUCCGUUUUUAUCUGUAAAAUGAAUAUUCCAUAACAGUCAACCAACUCGUUAUGGCGUCAGUAAAACUUGCAAAGGAAUGAUUUCAACUUCAACACUUGGAACUUUUAGUUUAAUUGCUUUCUUGUGAGCAGCAACCCUCUAUCAAGGAAAUCAUGAUCGGAAAUACAAGCCCUGGAAUAUCGUAUCAACUGGGAGAUAUAUACUCAAAACUUGUUAUUAGCAAAUUGUAUAUGAUAAUCUUGAUGAAACAGAAGAGGUUAUUUUAGAAAUUGAUAAAUCCAUCCUGCGAUAUAAAACCGUGUCGUCAAAAGUAUGCUACUUACACAACC